AGAGCGAACGCUGGCGGCAUGCUUAACACAUGCAAGUCGCACGGGCAGGGGAAACCCUGUCAGUGGCGGACGGGUGAGUAACGCGUAGGUAUCUAUCCUUGGGUGGGGGACAACGGUUGGAAACGACUGCUAAUACCGCAUAAUGACCGAGGUCUAAAGGCGCAAGUCGCCUGGGGAGGAGCCUGCGUACGAUUAGCUAGUUGGUGGGGUAAAGGCCUACCAAGGCGACGAUCGUUAGCUGGUCUGAGAGGAUGAUCAGCCACAUUGGGACUGAGACACGGCCCAAAACUCCUACGGGAGGCAGCAGUGGGGAAUAUUGGACAAUGGGCGAAAGCCUGAUCCAGCAAAUGCCGCGUGUGUGAAGAAGGUCUUCGGAUUGUAAAGCACUUUCGACGGGACGAUGAUGACGGUACCGUAGAAGAAGCCCGGACUAACGUUCGCGCCAGCGAGCCGC
RNAcentral lists this ribosomal RNA (454 nucleotides) under uncultured bacterium. RNAcentral describes it as "SSU rRNA". It matches the Rfam family "Bacterial small subunit ribosomal RNA", at positions 26 to 518 of the family's 1533-position model. The record is from RNAcentral.